Molecule: long non-coding RNA, 1344 nt
Filed under: Homo sapiens (human)
Lineage: Eukaryota; Metazoa; Chordata; Mammalia; Primates; Hominidae
Description: HSALNT0310761
Source: RNAcentral
CUUUACUCCUGCUAUCACAAAAUCCUCUGGGUGUUGUUCACCAGCCAGAAACCUCUGUGGCUGGCGGCGCCUCUGCUUGAGUUUUGCUCGCGCCUGCUGGUCUUGUUCCACUCGAUUGGCCCUGCAGGCUGUGCUCAGAGAUACCAGCCUGGAUCCCACGCCUGCCAAGGGUGAGCCAGGCGUGGAGCAGAGUUGGGUGUGUGAGCAAGUGAGCGCAGGGUCCGGCCACUGAGCACAGUGAGGCAUGCCAGGUGCUGCGGUGGGGCAGGCAGCUCCAGGCGCUGGCACAGGCACUGGCUCUGUGCAAAGCUGUGGCUGAACCAGAGGUACCGCAAGCGGCUUUUGCUGCCAGCACCGGCGUCUGGACAAGGGGAACAUGGUGGCGCCUGAAAGCUCAGAGAUGCCAGGAAUCACAGAGCCCCCAAAGAGGGUGUUAUAGCAGGUCACAGUCCUGGCUCCGGGAGCCCUGAGGUCUGGGCUCCCAGAAGGGCUGCAGCUCUUCUCUCCUUCUCGUUGCCCACAGCAUGGGAAUCUCUGCAUAUAGCUACAAAGUCACCCAGGGAAGGACAAGCUCAUGGAGGGCUCUUUCCUGCCCAUUCGCCUCAUUUAAGUGCAGCCAUCCUUCAGGCCCUUGGUUAAGCUUCCAAGGACCCUAUGGGUCAAGGUGAAGCCAUCAGUGUCUACAGCUUCAGCUAUUGCCCGUGUGCAGAUGGUGCUUAAUCUCUCUUGUGCCUUCCAGACCUGCAUUCCAGCCACCUACCAAACCCCUUUCUGUGGAUGCCAAGAAAAGUCUUCAGACCGUGGACAAUGUGCUCUUUGCCCCUAUUAUGGAGAAAGGUGUUCCCUAGGAUGAUGACACAAGGAUUUAAUGAGUAGAAGACAACAACUUAAAACCUCUCAUUUGAGCAUGAAUUGUCUAGGUUAAAGGUAGGCAUUGAGAUCCCAUUAGCUACUGGCACACUUGGGAAAAGAAAUGUACACAUGCACAGACACACUUUAAAGCAAGACUUCAUAAAAAUACAGCGAUGCCUGUUUCUACUCAGACCCAAAAAUGGAAUUAAAGCCAAAACUUACAACCCCUCUACUAAUUAGAGAAGUAAAAAUGUCUUCACCCCAAGUGUCCCAGCACAACGUGAAACCGAAACAAGCUGCCUUUCUUUGGAUUCCACUUAUUUAUUUAUGUUUAAAAGAAUAUUUGAAGAAAAGGACGCCUAGUAAAAGAACAGUUGGAGAAAACAUGGGACACCAUACAUUGGAAGAGAAAUGUAGAUGAAGUACACAGCUACAACAGGGAUAUUUUUUUUCUUGUUGAAACACAUGAUAAUGGGCUAAUAAAAAUCUGGU